Molecule: ribosomal RNA, 429 nt
Filed under: Actinomycetes bacterium
Lineage: Bacteria; Bacillati; Actinomycetota; Actinomycetes
Description: Actinobacteria bacterium partial 16S ribosomal RNA
Rfam family: Bacterial small subunit ribosomal RNA
Source: RNAcentral
UAGGGAAUCUUCCGCAAUGGGCGAAAGCCUGACGGAGCAACGCCGCGUGAGUGAUGAAGGUCUUCGGAUCGUAAAACUCUGUUAUUAGGGAAGAACAAAUGUGUAAGUAACUAUGCACGUCUUGACGGUACCUAAUCAGAAAGCCACGGCUAACUACGUGCCAGCAGCCGCGGUAAUACGUAGGUGGCAAGCGUUAUCCGGAAUUAUUGGGCGUAAAGCGCGCGUAGGCGGUUUUUUAAGUCUGAUGUGAAAGCCCACGGCUCAACCGUGGAGGGUCAUUGGAAACUGGAAAACUUGAGUGCAGAAGAGGAAAGUGGAAUUCCAUGUGUAGCGGUGAAAUGCGCAGAGAUAUGGAGGAACACCAGUGGCGAAGGCGACUUUCUGGUCUGUAACUGACGCUGAUCUGCGAAAGCGUGGGGAUCAAACAGG